Long non-coding RNA from Acanthopagrus latus (yellowfin seabream), 2240 nucleotides. RefSeq lists it as uncharacterized. Lineage: Eukaryota; Metazoa; Chordata; Actinopteri; Spariformes; Sparidae. The transcript has 3 exons. The record is from RefSeq and is a predicted model, not a curated record.
CCGACCUGAGAGACGGCGAUGGCAGACCGGAAGGAAGUGCAAGGACAUGGCAAACACAACAGACAACUGAACUAAAGACCGGACUUGAAUACAACCUGAAGUAACGAGGGGAUGAGGUGCAGGUGGAGUGAGGCAGAGAAACACAAGUGAUCUGAGCUGAUAGGCUGGAGAAAACUGGGAACGGUGCUGGGCUUACGAAUGAGAUGCAGUCCAGGUGUGAAGGGAAAGCAGACUGGGGGAGGUUAGCAAGGAAAAAGGAGUGAAACAACAAAAGACACCACAAAAACCCAGAAAACACAAAUAAAAUGAAACUGAAAUGACAGGACCAUGACAAUCACCUCUGCUUACCUGACCUCUGAUGCUGUUGACAUCUGAAGAGCAUCUCAAUUGAAGUGUACUGAUGCCCCAAGAAAGAUAGAUGCCAGCAGCACACUGGGAUCAACGACAUGACUUCAAGUAUCACCGACGGCCAAUUUCGAUUCGUGACCUGACUUUCAUGUCACUGGAGAGAUCACAACAAGCCACUGUGAGCUGGCUGCCCUGAGCAACACGAAGGUCAAAUUACUCAGAAGCAGGAAGAAGGAGUUACACAGAAGUAACCUGAUUGGAUGGGAGGAUUGGUGACCUUGGCAACUACCCAUUAUCUAGAGCUCCCAAAGGGGGGGGGUGAAGGGAGGAGAGGGACACUUCAGCAAUCUCAGAGAGAGAAAUCCAGAGGGAUGGUUUCUCCAGGAAUCUCCAAGCCUCCAUCUAUGUUCCCAUCCCUCCAGGUGCAGGAUCACCUUAUCACCCCUUGUUCUCUCUCUCUGUUGCCCCCACUGCCUCUUCCUCUAAAUGCCACUAAAUGAAAGACUCACACACAAACAUAUCUCUUCUAGUCCUCUGUUUAUCCUAACACACACACAGACUUCACAGUGGGAUGCUGGGAGGCAACAAGAGGCGACAAAAAGAAGAUUAGUGAGGAAGAUCAAGUGUAAUUCAAGGUCGCUCCUCUCAUUAGAUUCAGACACAGAGGGUCUGAGUAAGGAUAUAAAUAAUUCUGGGAAAAUCUUAACACCAGAAAAUCCGAAGCCACAAUCAUCUACAGUUCAUGCAUACCCCAUGAGAUGAGAAUGUAUGUUAAGCAGAAAGAUAAAGCUUUUAAUGCAUGUAUAUGUACACUUAUAAUGUUUUAUUUUUCUUUGAGGUUGAAAGUCUUUUAGAGCAGAUUUCAUGCCUUUUGUAUAGUUUAUGCAGUUAUUUACAGUUUAGUGAGGGAAGUUUAGGGUCCCACAACCCACUGGUGACUUGCCAACAGUUCCCAAUCCUUUUGUUCUUUUUGAAAAGCAUCCAGGCUUCUGCAGUUUUGGUUAAUUAAUUCUGGUAGUAUUCAUAAAUAGAAUAGCUUUUACCUAUCCUUGGGUAUGUUGUCCUCUUUGGACAUUGCUGGGUUUUUUUGUUGUGGUCGCUGGUCUGCAACGAGAACGUCACCAACCCACAACAAACACAUUCACAAAGAUUUUCCUAAUUUUCUCUUAGAUUUGUUUCUUAAAAAAAAGAAAAUGUCACACAUGCAAACCCGGUUUUAACAAGAAAUGCAUCCAAAUAGUUCUAUAUAAGAGCAAUGGACCCCUGCAGCGAUGUAGCACAGUCUAAAUAGAAUGAAUGACAACUACUUUUUUCUUCUUGGCUUUCACAAAAGGCAACUUGUUAGUUUUCACACUGCAGGAUCAUCAGUCAAAAACAAAACAAAAAAAAAAAACAACUGGAAUUUAAUCAACUUGGAAAGAGGAGACAUUCAUUUGCUAAAAUCUGAAGGUGAUUCACUGAGUUGAAGCGCACAAUUAUCUGUGCCAGAAAAGUCUCUUUUAUCACAGAAGGAGUCGGUUCUUUGUACAACAUAGUGCUGCAUAUUUAUCACUUUACACACUAUUGAGUACGACUGAGCCAAAUCAGCACCACCAGCAUUACAAUCUGCCUGAUUAUGUAUUCAACAGAUGAGUUCAUGAGUGCUGCUUCAUAAUACCAAAGCACUACAGUGCGGCAUGCCAGCGUCAAAACACGGCGUUUUGCAUUACUGAGUACGUAUAUAAGUGUGUCUGUGGGUGUAUGACCAUGACAUCAAAACCGAGUCGCAACAACACGGUACGUGUUUGUGUCGAGAAUACCACAAAGCACUUAAACUGAUGAAUAUGUAUGUGUAUGUGUAAAUAACUGCAACUGCCUAAUUUAAUAAAAUUCAAUAAAAUCCAUGCGUAUGA